GAUUUUUGGAACUGCUGUGGUAUAUGGAAAGCAUUCUAGAAUGGUCUAGUGGUCAUCUAAGUGUAAAACACUCCAAAUAGUGACAUACUUGAUUCAACCUUAAACUUAGGUGUUGCAUAUCAAAAUCUUGGACUCGAGGUAACUCCGAUCUAGGUUUGUUGAUCUCGUGGGUCUUUUCACAUCUCGUACUCAAGGAUGGUGGUGGGUUGUGAGAGGAGGCUUGCCAGAUGACAAAUAAUGCUCGGAUUCCGAUCUUGAAGGGUGCUGACCAUUGUAAGUCGUGGUGUUACUUGUCAAUCCAAUACGCAAUUUGUGAAUCUUCAGAUGAAGAUGAUCGUCCUACAUGAUAAGAUACGGUUUACCAGAUAGACGAUAUAACAUUUAUGACUAAAGGAAUGAUGUAGAUGAAGGCUAAAAUUCCCUAUCAACCUAGUCAAAUGAAGCGGUUGGAAAUACAUGGAGAAGAGUAAAUAUUCAAAGAAAAUGAUAAUUGUUUCUUUGAAUAUAUUGAGAGAGUUUAUAGAAUAAGUUUGGUGAGAAGGAGAAAGGAGAUGAUUUGGUCUAAUAAGCACAAGAAAAAAAAUUAAAAACUGAGCAUGAGAUUGAUAUUGCAAGUCAUGGGUUGAGUACGAAGGAUAACAGGUUGGCAUGGUGAUAGGACUUAUGAGAGAAAAAUUUAUGCUGAGGUGACAAGUCUUUGGAUUUCCUAUUAUUCCAUGUAAUGAGUUUUAGAAUACCAAGAUGUCUUGUCAUUUCAUGAAGACCCCUGACACACUUAGACAACAUG
This is a non-coding RNA of Cajanus cajan (pigeon pea), 787 nucleotides long. The record is from RefSeq and is a predicted model, not a curated record. NCBI's taxonomy places the organism in Eukaryota, Viridiplantae, Streptophyta, Magnoliopsida, Fabales, Fabaceae.